GACGAACGCUGGCGGCGUGCCUAAUACAUGCAGGUGGGACGCAAGGGAACACACUGUGCUUGCACACCGUGUUUUCUUGAGUCGCGAACGGGUGAGUAACGCGUAGGUAACCUGCCUAUUAGCGGGGGAUAACUAUUGGAAACGAUAGCUAAUACCGCAUAAUAUUAAUUAUUGCAUGAUAAUUGAUUGAAAGAUGCAAGCGCAUCACUAGUAGAUGGACCUGCGUUGUAUUAGCUAGUUGGUAAGGUAAGAGCUUACCAAGGCGACGAUACAUAGCCGACCUGAGAGGGUGAUCGGCCACACUGGGACUGAGACACGGCCCAGACUCCUACGGGAGGCAGCAGUAGGGAAUCUUCGGCAAUGGACGAAAGUCUGACCGAGCAACGCCGCGUGAGUGAAGAAGGUUUUCGGAUCGUAAAGCUCUGUUGUAAGUCAAGAACGUGUGUGAGAGUGGAAAGUUCACACAGUGACGGUAGCUACCAGAA
This 485-nucleotide ribosomal RNA is filed under the name Streptococcus mutans. Its description in RNAcentral is "bacterial SSU rRNA". It matches the Rfam family "Bacterial small subunit ribosomal RNA", at positions 28 to 488 of the family's 1533-position model. The record is from RNAcentral. Lineage: Bacteria; Bacillati; Bacillota; Bacilli; Lactobacillales; Streptococcaceae.